AAAAAUAAAAAUAAAUAAUACAAUUAGAUUUGAGUCAACUCUGAACCUGUAUCUCUUUUCAGGUAUAAUAUUAAGAGUUUACCUCAAAACCAAGCCUUAUAAACUGAUAAUAUUGAGCAAUAAUUUGACUAGAGCCUGCCAAAAUGAGGAAACCAAAAUGGAGUUAAUAAAAUGAAAAAGCUACUAAAAGAACAAAGGCACAAAUGGUUCAUCUUUUAGAAAAAGAGGAGAGGGACACCCAGAAGAAGUGAGAGAAAACCUUAGUUAAUAAAGGCCAGGGGGAAGAUGAGCUUAUCUAAUUUCAAUAAUGCAAGUAAAACAUGAAUCUAGAAGACGAUUCAAUAAAAGAUGCGACAUAUAUAUAACAUCUUAAAUGAAGUUCUAGGCAGGCCAGGCCACUAUUCAAGGCUAUAUCUCUAACCAAAUCCAUCCCCAUAUAAUAAAAACAUAUCAAUAUUUUACUAAUCAGGUAGUCUGCAACAGGUCAGGACUUAUAAAUGCACAUCUCAACCCUGCCUACCUUAGGAAGCCCUCAAAUCAGGAAAAGAAAAACUUUGUUGGCAGCAAAAUAUUGGAAAGAUAAACCACAGGCGCUUCAUGAAAGCAGUCAUAUAGAAAAAGGAAAGAUAUCACUUAUGAUCUAUGACCGAUUAAGCUCUAAUUAGUUUUGUUGGUUUACAUAUUAGGGGGAGAGGAACUCGACCUGGGACAUUACCCUAGCUGAGAGAUUCACCUAGUAUCAAGCUAAGCUUGUGGGUGUAUCAAGCUCUAAUUUCAGUUCUUAUAGUCAAUAUCUCACUUUUAAAACCAGAAGGAAAUCAAGAAUGUGGAACAAACUUAAACCAAAAGACAAGCACAAAUGUGGUAAGCUUAUUCUUUUUCUUUCCCCUUUAUUUUUCUGAAUCGUUUUUCCUCUCAUUCUUACCAAAUA
This 931-nucleotide unclassified non-coding RNA is filed under the name Hevea brasiliensis (rubber tree). The record is from RNAcentral. Lineage: Eukaryota; Viridiplantae; Streptophyta; Magnoliopsida; Malpighiales; Euphorbiaceae.